This 30-nucleotide non-coding RNA is filed under the name Mus musculus (house mouse). The record is from RNAcentral. Lineage: Eukaryota; Metazoa; Chordata; Mammalia; Rodentia; Muridae.
UGGACUCGAAUUCAGGUCCUCUGGAAGAGC